AGUGUGUAUCAAUCGAGUUUCUGACCUAUCAGCUUUUGAUGUUAGGGUAUUGGCCUAACAUGGCUAUGACGGGUAACGGGGAAUUAGAGUUCGAUUCCGGAGAGGGAGCCUGAGAAAUAGCUACCACAUCUAAGGAAGGCAGCAGGCGCGUAAAUUACCCAAUUCUAAAGAAGAGAGGUAGUGACAAGAAAUAACAAUACAAGGCCAAUCUGGCUUUGUAAUUGGAAUGAUGGGAAUUUAAAACCUUCCCAAAACUCAAUUGGAGGGCAAGUCUGGUGCCAGCAGCCGCGGUAAUUCCAGCUCCAAUAGCGUAUAUUAAAAUUGUUGCAGUUAAAACGCUCGUAGUUGAAUUUCAAAGAAUCGAUAUUUUAAGUAACGCUUUUAGCUUAAUCCAAUAACUGAUACUACGUAUCGACUUUGUGCGCAUUUUGCUAUUAUGUGUUCUUUUAAUUAAAAUGAUUCUUUUUAAGGUCUUUCUUUUGCUUCGGCAUUUGAAGAUCUUGUUACUUUGAGUAAAUUAGAGUGUUCAAAGCAAACAGAUAUAGCAUUGCGCGUUUGAAUACUACAGCAUGGAAUAACAAAAUUGAACAAGUCAGAAUUUUGUUCUUUUUUCUUAUUUUGGCUUAGUUACGAUUAAUAGGAGUAGCUUGGGGGCAUUUGUAUUCAGAUGUCAGAGGUGAAAUUCUUAGAUUUUCUGGAGACAAACAACUGCGAAAGCAUUUGCCUAAAAUACUUCCAUUAAUCAAGAACGAAAGUUAAGGGAGUGAAGACGAUCAGAUACCGUC
This 785-nucleotide ribosomal RNA is filed under the name Plasmodium cynomolgi. RNAcentral describes it as "SSU rRNA". It matches the Rfam family "Eukaryotic small subunit ribosomal RNA", at positions 287 to 1019 of the family's 1831-position model. Lineage: Eukaryota; Apicomplexa; Aconoidasida; Haemosporida; Plasmodiidae. The record is from RNAcentral.